Molecule: ribosomal RNA, 255 nt
Filed under: uncultured bacterium
Lineage: Bacteria
Description: partial 16S ribosomal RNA
Rfam family: Bacterial small subunit ribosomal RNA
Source: RNAcentral
UACGGAGGGAGCUAGCGUUAUUCGGAAUUACUGGGCGUAAAGCGCACGUAGGCGGCUUUGUAAGUUAGAGGUGAAAGCCUGGAGCUCAACUCCAGAAUUGCCUUUAAGACUGCAUCGCUUGAAUCCAGGAGAGGUGAGUGGAAUUCCGAGUGUAGAGGUGAAAUUCGUAGAUAUUCGCAAGAACACCAGUGGCGAAGGCGGCUCACUGGCCCGAGUACUGACGCUGAGGCACGAAAGCGUGGGGAGCAAACAGGG